UACAGAGGGUGCAAACGUUGCUCGGAAUCAUUGGGCGUAAAGCGCACGUAGGCGGCCUAGCAAGUAGGGAGUGAAAGCCCUCGGCUUAAUCGAGGAAGUGCUUUCUAAACUACUAGGCUUGAAUACUGGAGAGGGUCGCGGAAUUCCCGGUGUAGAGGUGAAAUUCGUAGAUAUCGGGAGGAACACCAGUGGCGAAGGCGGCGACCUGGACAGAUAUUGACGCUGAGGUGCGAAAGCGUGGGGAGCAAACAGG
RNAcentral lists this ribosomal RNA (253 nucleotides) under uncultured bacterium. RNAcentral's name for it is "partial 16S ribosomal RNA". It matches the Rfam family "Bacterial small subunit ribosomal RNA", at positions 524 to 776 of the family's 1533-position model. The record is from RNAcentral.